ACUGUGUUCCUUUUUUGGAAUAUCACCUUGCUCGGAACCCAAGUAAUCGGGACUUGGCAAUUCCUCUGCUAUCUACUCAUGUUCCUUACAGUUGUUUACCUAAAUCUAUCAUUUCUUCUAGUUGCAAGAUUAUUUACAUUUGCAGGGACGCAAAGGAUGCUUUUGUUUCUUUGUGGUGCUUUGUUUCCGCGCAUCAAAUGUCGAAAAAUGUUGAACCUCUUCCUCUGGAAGAGGCCUUUGAGAUGUUCUGCAAUGGAAUUUCAAUCUUGGGACCAUAUUGGGACCAUGUUUUAGGGUAUUGGAGAGCAAGCUUAGAGUUCCCUGAGAAGAUAUUGUUCUUGACAUACGAGGAAAUUAAGAAAGACACCGCUGCUCAUGUUAAGAAACUAGCUGAGUUCAUGGGUUGUUCUUUCACCUUAGAGGAAGAGGAGGAAGGGGAGGUGCAAGAGAUAAUAAGCAUGUGUAGUUUUGAGAAGUUGAGCAACUUGGAGGUGAAUAAAAAUGGGAAGCACCGUCUAGACACAUCAAUUGCUAUUCAAAAUAGUUUAUACUUCAGGAAAGGUGAGAUAGGCGACUGGGCAAAUCACUUGACACCUGAAAUGGGAGCGCGUCUAGAUGACAUAAUGGAGCGGAAGCUCAAGGGUUCAGGCUUGAAGCUGCCCAGGUGACCGUGCCUGGGGUCCCAUUUGCUUAUGAUUAUUGCCGAAGUGGGUUCAUCAAAAGAUGUUAUCAGCAUGUCGUGAAACAGCAACGUGUAUCCCAAUAAAUACCCUCUCUGUUCAUAGCAAGUAUUCACAUUUUGUGAAUCUUCCAUGUGAAUAAGCAAUAUUCUUUUGUGAAUCUGUGUUUGUGACUUUCAUUGAUUUCCUUGCAUGUUUGUAAGAAUUCAAAAUGGGAUUCGUUUUUUUUUUUUUUAACACAAGUGCAUGCAUUCCAUUCAUCAGUUUGAUAAAAAAUAAAUUUACUCUAAUAUAUAAUAUUAGAGUGUUUUCUUCACAGAAAUUGCAGUGUGUUUUUCUUCACAGCUAUACAUGUUUGAAAAGAACCGAGACAGCCAUACAUGAGGGCGGAGCAAAGACCAACCGAGACAACCAUCCAUUAAGAUUGUUGAAUUGCAGAUCAAAUGAACGUAGGAGAACUCGUGUUUUCCACUCCUAAAAUAAGCCCAGUUGCCGGCUUCAUUUGCAACAGAGACACAUAAAGAAUCUGAAAGCAGUUUUUAUGCACUAUCAGCAAAAUAAUUUGACCAGUCAGAAUGAUGUUUUCCCCCUUACUAGGCUCAGAUCACAAUCCUUCUUACUUCAAACAAGUCUUUUGGAACCGAUAUGUCGAGGGAUGGCUUGAUUUAUACCGGAGAUUUUGAUGGAAACUUAAAGAAGCGUGGCUUAAUUAUACCUUGGAUGCGCAAAUUGAUUACAGGGAAAAAAUGACAGAAAGUGAGUUGCAGGGAAUGAAAAAGGCAUUAGUAAACUCAACACCUUUCAGGGCAUCGUUCCUUGGUUUACUCCCUUCUAUUUCUUAUUUUGUUUUUCCUGCCAUUGUCUAAUGUUUUUCUAACUCGCAGUCUGGUCUCUGCAGAGAAUGAGAAAGCAAAAACUCUUUAAGAGAAGAUAUUCUCCGGCGAUGGCAUCAACUAAGUGCGUGUUUGGCGCUCCGGCUAUGUUUACAGAAAAAACAUCGUGGUCAUGUUUUUGGUUACAGUCUAAACAUAAUUAUCUGUUUGUGGACCCGUUAUCAUUUGCUUUUAAACCGCAAGAUAACCAAAAACAACUUCAAGCUGCCUUCUGUGUUGAGUUGCAAACUUUAUAAACAAAGGCCACAAGAAAAAGAGCAGAAACAUAGCAGUGAAUAAUGAACAGUGGAGAGCAGCUCCCUCUGACCACCGGCAUCCGCCGUUUUCACCGCCAACCACUGCUCAUCCUCUUCCCCUUCUCUUUCUCCUUCUUCUUUGUCUUCUGCAUUGUCCACUGUUCACGUUGCAUGUGAACAGUGGAGAGCAGCUCACCACCGGCCUCCGCUGUUUCUACCGCCAGUCACUGCUCUUCCUCUUCCCCUUCCCCUUCCCCUUCUUCUUCUACAUUCUCCACUGUUCACGUGAACAGUGGAGAGCGUCUCCACUAUUCAUGGCCGGAUUGGGUCUGGCCCAAACCUAAAUGCAUUGGACCGGGUCCAACCUAAAUGCAUUGGACCGGGUCCAAUCAAGUAAAAUAAAAAAAUCUAAAAAUAUUUCUUAGAUAUUGUGUUUUAUUUGAAAAACUAGUGUUUAAAAUUAUUCAAUGACACUACAUAAUUAUAUUAGAAGGAGAUCGCAUGAUGACGUAGCAUUUGCAGAAUUUGAUUGCAAUCCCAAUUUUAUUCCUAAUGAUAUUUUACCUGAUGUGAUGAUAUUUUACCUGAUGUUGGUGCACGUUCAAGAAGCCAUGAAAACUGUAGUUUUUGUCGGAUGGAUUUCGUACGUGAUUGAAUUGCAAAUAAUUUAAUGAAACAAUAAAAAAUACUUUAUAUAAAGUAUUAUUUAUUUCAUGAUGUAAUAGCAGUAGUUAAAUCUAUAAUAUUCCAAUUAAAAACCAUCAAUAUUAAUAUAUAUAUGUUUUUUUUAAUUAUUUUAUAACCUCAAUUUGAAAAACAUUCUUUAAACCAAACACAUUAAACUACUUUUUGUUCAACCUCAAUUUCAACCACAAUUUUAACCAAAUAUAUAUUUUUUCAAAUCAACCUCAACUAAAAAUACUUUGUAUAAAACAACUUUUUUAAACUACAAUCAUAACAGGUAUCACAAUACCAAAGACACACAAAGCUGUACUGAUAAGCAAGUUAAAGUGCCACCAUUGAUUUAGGAUCUGCUUUAUAUCUUAUAAGGUGAAAGUAAAACACAAGGAAAUGCAUGCAUGCACACCACUAAUCUUUGAUUCUGGCGAGAACAGUGAUGACUACACACACAACCAUAUAGAAUUACAUUCCAAGAUGAAGAAAUUAAUAACAGAGCAGUGCUAUAAAGCUAAAUGGGAGAACCAGAGAUUAAUAAGCAAUGCUGAAAAUUUUAUCAUGCAUAAGAUGAGAGAAGCAUAGGACAUAUUUUAUCAAAUCUAUAGUUUUUCUUUAAUAAUAAUAAUAUUUUUAAAAAAUUUAAUAAUAAUAAUAAUAAUAAUAAAAACUCAUGUUCUUUGAUUCUGACUUCCCUUACCAGACUGAAGUUACCACAGUCAGACCCAAGUAACUUAGGUGUGACGCUCCUGUUAGACUCAAGUUAUUUGGGUAUGAUAUCUCAUGCUGGACUCAUAGUAUUCAAGAUCAAAGGUGUUGAUAUCUAACAAUCAUACCUCACCCAAGCCCUAAGAUGUGAUUGCUUUUCUAGACCAGAGCGCAAGGCACCAAGACACUAAGAUACUAUUCACCAUAAGUCAAGUCAAUGAACCAAUUAAUUGAUUUUAAAGAUCAAGUUUUUUUUUUAAAUAGAGAAACAAAACUUUUAUUAACAUUGAAAUAACUCCUAAAAUUUUAAUAAAAUUAAUUUGAAGUAAAAAUAAUAUUAGAAAAAUAUUUAGAAGCACUUUUUUAUUGUAAAAUCAAACACACUAAAAUCAUGUAGAUUUUCAUUUAGACACUAAAAUUCAAGAAGAAAUUAAGUUCACACAGUACUAUUAAUUCAAUCGAUGAAGGAUUAGUCCCAACUACUUUAGGGCCACCAUUGACAUUGAUUACUUUGAAUAAUUUUAAUUUAUAGGCAUAAAAAAUUAAUACAUAUCUUUAAGAGGAUCAAUUUUAGAUUCUCUCUCUCUCUCUCUCUAUUUUUUUUUUGGUUUUCAAAUAUUUGACAUUUUCGUUUAGAUAAGCUCUAGUGUGUGUUUUUUUUAGAUUAUUUUAAAUCAUGUUUCUUGAAAUGUCAAAAACAUUUCAUGGAUUAAUUUAACUUAAUAACGCCAAAGAAUUAGGAAUUAAAACUGAUAAUUUCCACCAAGUAAGAGUACCUAAUUGAAAAUUUACUUUCUUAUCAUUUACCUCAAUUAAGCGGAAGCAUGAUCAUGAGAAGGGAUUUGGGAGGCACUUAGAUUAGGCUCUUCUCUAGUCUUGAGAAGCAGAACCAAUAGAGACGUGAUUGCGCACUCCCUGAGCUAUAUAGUAAGUGGCUGCAAACAAAUUGUCAGCACCAAUUCAGGUCCGGAAAAUUAAAGCAUUGAAGCAUAAAAGGUGACCUAACCUGAUUAAGCAAAUUACUACUUAUUCCAGCAUCACCUAGGAGUGAGACAGCCAGCCCUCCAGUGUCUACAUGGUAUGGGAAUAAUUCCUUCAAGAACGCAGAGAAAAUUAUACUUGCAAUACAACUAUAAACGAGAUGGUACAGUGCGGAAGGCUAUAAACGAGAUGGUACAGUGUGGAAGGCAAGAUGUUAAAUAUGAUCAGGACAAAAAAAUAAAUAAAGAAAGAAAGAGUGUUUAUUUCACAAUGAUCGAUAUGAUGCUUCUUUCCAUGUGGAAUCUUCGUCAAAGACUUGUUGAAAAUGCCAAAUUGUGAUCCACUUUUGGCUGUGUCAAAUGCAUGGGUGGGGUUUCACACAGAGCUAUUACCCCUUGUGUAAACUCAACGCCAGUUUUCAUGAGUUCUUUGGGAUUCUAACAUAGUAAAAAAAAAUGAUAAAAUAACGAAGUGUAAAGAAUAUGUAGUGAAAUAGAUAUUUGUAAUUAAUCAGUUGCAAUUAUUAUAUGCUCGCUCUCUCAGAUUUACUGGACAGAAGAUUUAUUAAAAAGAGAUGAGAAAAUAAUUAAAAGAGAAAGAAAAGAAAAAAAAAACUUCAAGGUAUAUCAAAACUCUGAUAAUAAUAUUAUUGGUAUUGUUGAAACAAAUCUAAAAAUAUCAAUAAAGAUCACCAAUAAUGAUCAUAGUAGGUCAUACGAGUGACCGAGAUAAAUGAGUCUCAAUACUUUUAAACAGCUCGUAUAAUCUAUUUUAUUUAUUAUUUAUUUUUUUUUAUGUUGUUAAAUUCAUCUUAUAAUGAUGCCGAUAAUGUUAUCAUUAUAAUUUCAAUGUAUUUCUAUUAUUAUUAUUUUUUGUUUUGCUCUCUCUCCUCUCUUUCCUUAUAAUUUAUGAAGAGUUAGAGAGGGGAAAAAAAAACCCUAGUCUUCCACUUUAAUCUGGCUGAAUACUAUAUUUUUCCUUAAUUAUUCACUACUUUGUCAAUGCAAACUAUAUUUUUCCUUAAAUAAGAUCUAAUCCACCAGCGGAUAGGUGAUCAAGAAUAUUAAAUUAGUGUAAAACUUGAUUUAAUUCAACAUUAUAAAUUCGAGGUGCUAUAAUAAUGUGAAAAAAAAGAAUAAAAAAACUAGAUUCAUCAUCAUCAUUAUUAUAUUAGUAUAAUAAUGUUUGUCACUUUGUUGUAUUAUUUUUUAAUUGUUUAGUUGUUUACUAUAUGUUAAAAUUUCAAGAUCUUCAAAGAUUGGUAAGAUCUUAAGGAUCUAGAGUUACUAUGGGACCGUCUUUAUUUUCCUAUUUGGAUUUUUUUUAUUUAUAUUAAGAAUUUAAAUUUAAUUAGUAUUUUAUUAUUUAAAAAUUCUAACGGUAAAUUGAUUCUAUUAGUCAGGCUAAUUUUAAGUAUAAAUUAUUUUUUUAUACAAAAUUUUAAAUUUAGAAUUAAUAUAAAUAAAAAUGUUUAGUUUAUUUUUUAAAGUGUUUUUGUUUAAAAAUACAUCAAAAUAAUAUAUUUUUAAAUUUUUUUUAUUAUUCAUCUUUUACAUCAAAACAUUUAAAAAACAUAAAAAAAAACAAUUAGAAAACGCAAGAUUGCAUCAAUGCUAAAUGCAAUCUCUCUCUCUCUCUCUCUCUCUCUCUCUCUCUCACACACACACACACACACACACACACACACACACACACGAUCCACCUCUGGUGUCAAAUGCAUAGUGAUGUUCCACAGCGAGCCACUAUCUAUUAUGUAAAAUCUCAACAAGUGAGAAAUGUCAUAGAUCAUUUGGUCUAAUUUACGGGGACAGAGUUGUGGAGUUGGGGGCUGUAAAUAUUCCUCAAAAGAUCGAGUCUUAAGGUCUCGGAACUAUUAUAUGACGGGGGAUAAAAAAACAAAUACUACGAGGGUCGAAAUAAAUAUUUUUUACUGGUUGAUGGUAUCCACAAAUGCUACGAGCAAUAAUAAAAUUUUUUGGAUUGAAUAAUCAGUUAAUUAAUUAGUUUUAAUAAUUUUUUUUAUUUUUCUUAACUAAAGUGGUUAAAAGCGCUUAUAUUUAUCAUUGAUAGGUCAAAGCUACUCGUUAAUACAUUUAAAAGAUUUUUUUUGAUGGAGGUAAAGACUUUCCGAUAUUUAAAUAAAUAAUUUUUUAGAAAGAAAAAAUAAAUGAAUAUUCUAUAGAGAGAUACUCUGAAAAUACAAAUGCACAAGAGAAUUGGAGAUUGUGAACCUUUGUUCUGAAGAUUUUAUGAUGUAUUUAUAACUUAUAAGUUUUGUCCUUUUGUGAAAAUAAGGGUUUGGAGUGUAAUUACCCUGAUAACAUUUAAUGAGGAAUAAAUAUCCCUUGCAUAAUGGGAAUAUGGUGGGUCCUCGAAUGGUUUUUAUACACCUAAAAAGCUAUAGGGAGAUUAGAGUUUAAGACGUCAAGUGUAGCUGAGCCUAUAGAGAUCAAGUUCUUUCCUGAGAUUAGAUCGAAGAGAGGUUGGUCAUUCUCCUAGAUAUGCCAAUGGAGAAUGAUCAAUAUUUUGGACUUGGUUGGCUGCAAAAUCCAAGUACCUUGAGCCUGAUAUGCGUGUCAAAUCCACCCUAUCUUGAAAUUGGAGCACUACCAAGUCCUAGCGCCUUGGAUCUGACAUGCAUGCCAGAUCCAUGCUACGUUGGACUUGGUGCACUAUCAAGUCCAAACACCUUGGGUCUAGUGUGCGUGUUAGACCCACAUUAUAUUGGGUUUGACGCAUUACUAUACAUGUCCAAGCACCUUGAACUUGAUUGAUUGUCAAGUCCAUGCAUUAUAGAUUUGAUAUAUGUGUCAGAUCCAUAUUACCUUAAGCUUGACGCACUAUUAAGUUAAAGUGUCUUGAAUUUAGAAUUUCUCAGGAUCCAUAAAUUUUAAAGAACCAAACAAAAACUAAAUAAAAAAUUGACUCAUCACUAAUCUAUAAAUACUAUCUACAUAAUGGCCUUAGUUGAUAACUUCUACCACCCACUGCACUUACUUCAAUAAUGAAAAAUAUUUUUUCCUUUUAAUGGAAAAGACAUUUUAACUCCAUCUUCAAUUACUUUACAUAAAUGUUUCCUUCUUUUUUAGAUAUUGGGUUUAGAAAACACAAUCAUGCUAAAAAUUUAUUAUCAACUAUAAAAUGUAUUUUUUUUAUAUUUUAUAUAUAUUUUUUAAUUAUUUUUUAUAUUUUCAUAUUGUUUUGAUGUGCUAAUAUUAAAAUUAAAUUUUUAAAAAUAAAAAAUAUUAUUUUAAUAUAUUUUUAAAUUAAAAAUAUUUUAAAAAAUAACCGCUAACACAAUAACAAACAAGAUUUAAAUAAAAAAAAUUAUAAUUACAUCAGCAAUCAAGAAUACUAAAAUAGUGUAAAUUUUGACUUAAUUCAAUUAUGAGAAUUGGGGGCAGCGUAACAAUUUGAAAUAAAAUGGCAGAAAAGGAGGGCAAACAGUACAAAUACCUUGAAUAAUGGUGACCAAAUAUUUGUAAUUUGAGACAUCUCGUUCUCGCAAGGAAAUAGUUAAGAGUGCCAAUAAUUAAUCUGCUCUCAACUUGCUUCAAAUAGCUGCCAUGUCCACAUAUUCAAGAAACAAAUAUUUCCACUAAAGGUUUAUAUGGUCGUUAAUUUCAGGAUCUGUGGGAUUAGUCGAGCUGCGCGCAAGCUAACCCGAACACCCACAUUAAACUAAAAAAAAAAAUAUUUUUUACUAGUCUAGAAAUGCUAUCUCCUAAAUUGUUUAUUGUUCUAUGAUUCAACCAUCCUGUUUUUUAUAAAAAUAUUGAUUUUUUCAUAAAUUUUUUUAGUAUUUUUAAAUUAUUUUAAUGUAUAAAUAUAAAAAUAAUUUUUAAAAACUUUAUUUUAAUAUAUAUAUUUUAAAAAUUUCUUUAAAAAAUAAUUAUCACCGCAUUUCCAAACUUCACAUCCCUGUAUUAAUGGAUUGUGUUGUCCCUGUAUUAAUGGAUUGUGUUGUGGGCUCCACGCCAUUUAAAGCUUGUGAGAGAAACUACACCUAUAAACUGAAACCACACGAUAACACUAAAGAUUUGCUAAUUCGGGAGUGUUUGUUUUUAUAUAUAAAAGUAUUUUUAAAAAAAGUUAAUUUUUUAAAAUUAAUUUUUUAAUAGUUUUAUAUUAUUUUAAUGUAUUAAUAUUAAAAAUAAUUUUUAAAAUAUAAAUUUUUUAUUUAAUAUAUUUUUUUUAAAAUAUAAAAAUACUCUUGAAAACAGCGGUUAUAAAAUACUCUUAAAAAAUAAAUAAAAAUACUCUUGAAAACAGCGGCUAUAACCUUCCCAAACUUCACAUCCCCAAAUUAUUAAGAGGCCGUUUGUUUGCGUGGUUGCUUCUGCGUUUGAAGCAACCACAGCAAACAUAAUGUUUGGUAAUAUUAAAAAUGCUAAAAAUGACCGGUGGGACCCAUGCCAAUUCACGUUUUGAACGCGACAUUGGUGAAGCAGCUCGUGACUGCUUUUUUAAAUUUUGUAUUUGCGUGCACAGUGCAAUUCACUUGCACUGUGCACGCCAACAGUGUAAUUCACUUGCAUUGUUCGGGUGAUUUUUUUUAUUUUUUUAUUUAGUGUGUAUAGUUUUUUUAUAUAUAUUUUUUAAAAAAACUAGUUUUACAUUGUCAUGUAAACAAUAUUUUUUUUCCCGAAAAACUAGUAUAGAGCGAAUUAAAUUCACUCGCACUGUAAUAUCAAAUUAAUUUUAUUCCUAAUAAUAUUUUAUCUAAUUUUAUUGCAUGCUCAAAAAAUUAUAGAAACUGUAGUUCUUGUCGAAUGAAUUUUGUACGUAAUGGAAUUGUAGAUGGUUUAAUGGCAUAAUAAAAAAUAUUUUAUAUAAAGUAUUAUUUAUUUCAUGAAGUAAUAGUAAUAGUUAAAUCUACAAUAUUUAAAUUAAAAAUCAUCAAUUUUAAUAUAUAUUUUUUAAAAUUAUUUUAUAACUUUAAUUUCAAAAGCAUUCUUAACCAAACAUAUUAAACUACUUUUUAUUUAACCUCAAUUUCAACCACAAUUUUAACCAAACACCUAUUUUUUCAAACCAACCUCAAUUAAAAGUACUUUUUAUAAAAUAACUUUUUUCAAACCACAACUACAACAGCUACAGCAAUACCAAACACACUCUAAAUUGCAGACGUUUGGCAGUGUGUUCAAAAACAUAUUUUUAAAAAAAAUUGAUUUUUUUUAUUUUAAAUUAAUAUAUUUUUAAUAUUUUUAAAUUAUUUUGAUGUAAAUCUUAAAAAUAAUUUUUAAAAACUAAAAAAAUAUUAUUAACAUAUUUUUUUAAAUAAAAAAUAUUUUAAAAAAUAACCUCAGCUAUUCACACACAGCCGGAAAGAAGAGAAACCACACAAUCACGCUAAAGAUUUGCUAUCGAAUAUAAUAUGACAUAAAACCCAAUUGCAUCAGCGGGCAUGUGAUCAAUAAUAUUAAAAUAAGGUAAUAGUUGAUGGGGCCACAAAUUAAACCAGCUCUCAACUCGCUACAAAUAGCUGCAAUGGCCUUUCAUUCUACGUUAUAUUUUCAUUUUUUACUUUCAUGGAAUCCUCUUUGCCUUCCACCCAAAUCUUGGAUUCUGGUGACAGUGCAGAGAGGAAAAAUGAAGCUAAAAAUUACAAUGAAGUGAUGUCCACCUUUCCGAAAGUUAAAGGCUUGAAUGGGUAUGAUUAUUACCUGUACCAAGGCUUUUGGUACGCUCCCUUCUUCUUGGAAGGACUCAUGUCUGUUCAAGAGGGCUUCAAUCCUCAAUCCACUGAUAUAUUUGUCGCCAGUUUUCCAAAAACUGGCACAACUUGGCUUAAGGCCCUCACUUUUGCUAUUGUCACACGAUCCCGUUUAAGUGGUUCAACAACUAGUUCUUUACUUACCAAGAUGCCACAUGACUGUGUUCCUUUUUUGGAAUAUGACCUUGCUCAAAACCCCAGUAAUCGGGACUUGGCAAUUCCUCUGGUAUCUACUCAUGUUCCUUACACUUGUUUACCUAAAUCUAUCAUUUCUUCUAGUUGCAAGAUUAUUUACAUUUGCAGGGACGCAAAGGAUGCUUUUGUUUCUUUGUGGUACUUUCUUGCCAGGCUGCAAAUGUCGAAAAAUGUUGAACCUCUUCCUCUGGAAGGGGCAUUUGAGUUGUUUUGCAAUGGAAUUGCAAAUUUUGGACCAUAUUGGGACCAUGUUUUAGGGUAUUGGAGAGCAAGCUUCGAGUUCCCUGAGAAGAUAUUGUUCUUGACAUAUGAGGAAAUGAAGCAAGACACAGCUGCUCAUGUUAAGAAAUUAGCUGAGUUCAUGGGUUGUUCUUUCACCUUAGAGGAAGAGGAGGGAGGGGAGGUGCAAAAGAUAAUAAGCAUGUGUAGUUUUGAGAAGUUGAGCAGCUUGGAGGUCAAUAAAAAUGGGAAGCACCGUCCGGACACAUCACUUGCUAUUCAAAACAGUGUAUACUUCAGGAGAGGUGAGAUAGGCGACUGGGCAAAUCACUUGACACCUGAAAUGGGAGCACGUCUAGAUGACAUAAUGGAGCAGAAACUCAAGGGUUCAGGCUUGAAGCUGCCCAGGUGACUGUGCCUAGGGUCCCAUUUGCUUAUGAUUAUUGCCCAAGCGGGUUCAUCAAAAGCUGUUAUCAACAUCUCGUGAAACAGAAACUGUGUAUCCCAAUAAAUACCCUCUUUGUUCAUCUCUUGUAUUUCCUAUCAAGUAUUCACAUUUUGUGAAUCAUCCAUGUCAAUAAGCAAUGUUCUUUUGUGAAUCUGUGUUUGUGACUUUCAUUGAUUUCCUUGCAUGCUUGUAAGAAUUCAAAAUGGGAUUCGUUUUUUUAUUUAUUUAUUUAACACAAGUGCAUGCAUUCCAUUAAUCAGUUGGAUAAAAAAUAAAUUUACUCUAAUAUAUAAUAUUAGAGUGUUUUCUUCACAGAAAUUGCAGUGUGUUUUCUUCACAGUUAUACAUGUUUUAAAAGAACCGAGACAACCCAUACAUGAGGGCGGAGCAAAGACCAACCGAGACAACCAUCCAUUAAGAUUGUUGAAUUGCAGAUCAAAUGAACGUAGGCGGCACAUCUGCUGGAAGGAUCUCGAAAUGCCUUGUAAUUGGUUAAAAUAAAGAUCAAGAUCUGUAGGAGAACUCGUGUUUUCCACUCCUAAAAUAAGCCCAGUUGCCGGCUUCAUGUGCAACAGAGGCACAUAGAGAAUCUGAAAGCAGUUUUUAUGCACUAUCAGCAGAAUAAUUUGAUCAGUCAGAAUGAAAACCCCCCCCCCCAGGCUCACAAAUCUUCUUACUUCAAACAAAUCUUUUGGAACCGAUAUAUAUGUCGAGUGAUGGCUUGAUUUAUACCGGAGAUUGUGUUGGAAAAUUAAAGAAGCAUGGCUUAAUUUGUACCUUGGAUGCGCAAAUUGAUUACAGGGAAAAAAUGACAGAAAGUGAGUUGCAGGGAAUGAAAAAGGCAUUAGUAAACUCAACACCUUUCAGGGUAUCGUUCCUUGGUUUGCUCCCUUUUAUUUCUUAUUUUGUUUUUCCUGCCAUUGUCUAAUGUUUUUCUAACUCGCAGUCUGGUCUCUGCAGAGAAUGAGAAAGCACAAACUCUUUAAGAGAAGAUAUUCUCCGGCAAUGGCAUCAAACAGAAAAGUCCGACGUCAACUAAGUGAGUGUAUAGCGUUGCUGCUGUGUUUACAGAAAAACACCAUUGUCAUGUGUUUGGUUACGGUCUAAACAUAAUUUUUUAUCGGUGAGACCCAUUACCAUUUGCAUUUAAACCGCAAGAUAACCAGAAGCAACUUUAAGCUGCGUUUUGUUUUGAGUUGCAAAUUGUGUUAUAAAUAGAGGCCACAAGAAAAAGAGCAGAAACAGAGCAGUGAAUAGUGAUUAGUGGAGAGCAACUCCCUCUCACCACUGACCUCCGCCAGCCACUGCUUUUUCUCUUCUCCUUCUCUUCUCGUUCUCCUUCGUCUUCUGCAUUCUCUACUGUUCACGUGAACAAUGGAGAGUGGAGAGCAGCUCACCAUCAACCCCUGCUGUUUCCACCGCCAGCCACUGCUCUUCCUCUUCCCCUUCUCCUUCGUCUUUUACGUUCUCCACUGUUAAUGUGAACAGUGGAGAGCAGCUCACCACCGGCCUUCACUAUUUCCACUGCCAGCCACUGCUCUUCCUCUUCCCCUUCCCCUUCUCCUUCCCCUUCUCCUUCUCAUUCAUCUUCUGCAUUCUCCACUGUUCAUGGCCGGACUGGGCCUAGCCCAAACCUAAAUGUAUUUGACUGGGUCCGACCCAGUAAAAUAAAAAAAAAUCCAAAUUUUUUUUCUUAAAUAUUGUGUUUUAUUUGAAAAACUAGUGUUUAAAAUUAUUCAAUGACACUACAUAAUUAUAUUAGAAGGAGAUCGCACGAUGACGUAGCAUGUGCAGAAUUUGAUUGCAAUCCUAAUUUUUUUCCUAAUGAUAUUUUACAUGAUGUAAUGAUAUCUUACCUGAUGUUGGUGCAAGUUCAGGAAGCCAUGGAAACUGUAGUUCUUGUCGGAUGGAUUUCGUAUAUGAUUGAAUUGCAAAUAGUUUAAUGGAACAAUAAAAAAUACUUUAUAUAAAGUAUUGUUUAUUUCAUGAUGUAAUAGCAGUAGUUAAAUCUAUAAUAUUUCAAUUAAAAACCAUCAAUAUUAAUAUAUGUCUUUUUUAGUUAUUUUAUAACCUCAAUUUGAAAAGUAUUCUUUAACCAAACACAUUAAACUACUUUUUGUUCAACCUCAAUUUCAACCACAGUUUUAACCAAACAUAUAUUUUUCCAAACUAAUCUAAACUAAAAGUAUUUUUUAUAAAAACAAUUUUUUUCAAACCACAACAGCUACCACAAUACCAAACACACACAAAAAAAACUGUACUGAUAAGUAAGUUACAAUGCCACCACUGAUUUAGGAUCUGCUUUAGAUCUUAUAAGGUGAAAGUUGAAAGCUAGCAAGAAUCGUCACAGAGAUGAACAGAGAAGUGAAUAGAAUUAGAGGGAGAUACUGCAAUGCAGAGGAAGAAGAAAAACAUUUCUGUGUAUAUUCACUUAUAUUUUUUUACCAGCGCUGUUACAUUCAUUUUAUAUGAACCAAGAUGAGAAGCUUGUUUACGUAAUCUAAUCAACAGUAACAGACUUUGUUAACUGUCUAACAAUAUUAACAAACUUUCUAACCAUUGUAUUCUCUAUUCUCUUGACAGGUGGCAGAAGCAGAGCCUUUGAUAUCUUGACAUUCCCCCUCAAUCACAAGCGUGAAGGAACCAAGCAUAAGAUUGGAACAGUGACGCCGAAAUAAAGGAGUGGAAAGACCUUUAGUUAGGAUAUUAGCAAAUUGAUCGGUAGAAGAGACAUGUUGAACCAACAAAUCACCUUUGACAACACGUUCUCAAACAAAAUGAUAAUCAAUUUGGAGAUGCUUCAUUCUGGAAUGGAAGACUGGAUUGGAAGCAAGGGAAAUAGUUGAGAUAUUGUCAUAAUGAAUUAACGGAGGGAUAUGUAAAGGAAUGUGAAUGUCACAGAGCAGUUGGCGAAUCCAGGCAAGUUUGGCAGCAGCAAUUGCUAGAGCCCGAUACUCAACCUCAGUAGAUGAUCGAGAAACAAUAUGUUGUUUCUUAGAAGCCCAAGAAAUAGGACUGGAGCCGAGGAAAACAAUAGAGCCAGAGACAGAACGUCGAUCAUUGGGAUCGCCAACCCAGUCAGCAUCACUAUAAGCUUGUCGAUUAAGAAGACUAGGCUGAAAAUGAAGGCCAAAAUCAAGGGUACCUUUAAGAUACCGCAAGAUUCUUUUGACAGCCACAACAUAAGAAUGCAUGGGAUUAUGCAUAAAUUGACAAGCUCGGUUCAUAGAGAAAGCAAUAUCGAGCCUGGUGAACGUGAGAUACUGCAAUGCGCCAACUAUGCUCCGAUAUUGUUGUGGAUGAGAGUAGGCUUAGCCAUCAUCUUUGAGCAAAUGAUGAUGAGGAAGACAAGAAGUAUCAAAUGAUUUGGAAUUUUGUAAAUCAACUCUAGCAAGUAAGUCUGUGAUAUAACUUAUCUAGGACACAAACAAACCAGAAGGGAGAUAAGAGAUUUGCAAUCCCAAAAAAUAAUUCAACUUACCGGUAUCCUUCAUAUCAAAUUUCUGAGUCAAGGCAGCAAUGACUGAAGAAAGAAGAGAAUAAUGACUGCUAGUAAGAAUGAUAUCAUCUAAAUAGAGUAGCAAUAUCACAACACUAAGAGAAGAAUGCUGAACAAACAAAGAGGGAUCGACAAGAGAUGCUUGAAACCCCAAACAUGGUAAAAAAACUGGUAAAACGUUCAUUCCAGGCACGAGGAGCCUGUUUAAGGCCAUACAAGGACUUUCUUAGUCUGCAAACAAAGUUAGCAGGAUAAAGCUUACUCAUAAAACCUUGGGGUUGAGUCAUAUAAACCUCCUCAUGAAGAAUACCAUGCAAAAAGGCAUUGGUAACGUCAAGCUACCGUAAGGACCAGUUAAACUGAGCUGCAAGAGUAAGAAUUAAACGAACCAUAGUAGGUUUUAUGACAGGACUGAAAGUUUCAUUAUAGUCAAUUCCUUCCUCUUGAAUGAAACCCUUAGCCACCAAUCGAGCUUUAUGCCUAGCUAUAGAACCAUCCGCAUGCUUCUUGAGUCGGUAGACCCAUUUACAGCCAACAAGAUUCUUAGCAGGUGGGAGAGGCACCAAAUCCUAAGUACCUUAUGCAUGAAGAGCAUCAAUUUCCUCCCACAUAGCAGACUGCCAUUCUGGAAAGGUUGAAGCAGCCUUGAAGGAACUGGGUUCAACCUGAGAAAAAGCAACAGACUAUACAGAGGUAAAGUAAGCCUUUCUUUUGGAAAUACCAUUCUUAAACCUGAUGGUCAUUGGAUGAAGAUUCAUCGGUGAAAGAGGUAAGACCACACACAGAUUCUCAGGUUGGAAGUCAGGAUCAAAUCUAGUGACAAAGAAGCGAUUGGUUUGAAUAAAAAAACAGAAAUACCCUUUAUACUGACCAGCAUACCCCAGAAAAAUACAAGUGGAAGUUUUGGGCUGAAGUUUGUUAGUAUUAUAAGGCUUGAGUAAAGGAAAACAAGCACAACCAAAAAUCCACAAAUGAGUAAUGACCAGUGGAGAACCAUAUAACAGGAAAUAAGGUGAUUUGAGUUGAAGAAUUUGACAGGGCAUUCUAUUAAUCAAAUAAAUAGAAGUAGCACAAGCACGAAACCAAAAUUUUGGAGGUAAAUGGGCAGUUUGUAACAGAGUGAUGGCUGUUUCUAAAAUAUACCUAUGUUUGCGCUCAGCAAGGCCAUUCUGUUUCGGAGUAUAGGGACAGGACAUUUGAUGGACAAUACCCUUGGUAAAGAGGUAAUGUUUGAAUUUAGUACUAAGAUACUCACCACCCCCAUCACUUUGAAAGACUCGAAGAGUAGCAGAAAAUUGAGCAACUAAAAAGGUAUGAAAGUAGGCAAAAAUGGAAUAAACCUCUCCUUUAUUGAUCAUCAGAAAAAACCAAGUAAAUCGAGUACAUUCAUCAAUGAAACUAACAUAAUAUCUGAAACCUUCAACAGAUACAGUGGGAGAAGAACCCCAAACAUCACUAUGUAUGACCUCUCAAGGUUUAACAAAUUUAACUGCGGGAUAGGGAAAAGGAAGUUUAGCAAGUUUACCCUCUAAAAAAGUGGUACAAACGAAUUUGGAUGUGUUUGAAGUGAAAGAAAUCUGGGAUUGAUUUAACAGAGUAGAGGUGACUAUGUUAGAGGGAUGACCAAAACGCUUGUGCCAGAGACUUGUGUUGACCUGUUUACCAAGAUAGCAAACUUGAUUAUUUUGAAAGAGAGAUUAUGAAGGAAACGAAAUGGAGAAAGGAAUAGGAUAUAACCCAGCUCUACACAGUCCCUUGAGAAGGACAUUUCCCAUGAAUUUGUCCUGAAUCCAAAAACCAAAAUCAUCACAAAUAAAUCGACAGUUGUUAUCUUUACACAACUUAUGAACCGAUAAUAAGUGUUGAGAUAGCUUAGGCACAUGCAAAACUUGCUUUAAUUGUAAUGAGCAUUGAUGAACAUCUAAAAUAAAAGAACCAAUAUUAGAAAUGGUCAAACUUGAACCUCCUGUAGUGGUAACAGUAUCAGAUCCUGAGAAAGGUGUAGCCAGAUUGAGUUGAGCCAAAUCAGAAGUCAUAUGUGUUGUGGUGCCAUUAUCAGCCAGCCAUAAUUGUUCAGGAGGGGAAGAAGAUGGAAAAUUGGCAUGCAUAGCACUAAGAUUACUGGAGGGAGGCCUGCCUUGAUAGCUGAAAUUACCUCUAUGAUAACAUUGAACGGCAGAGUGCCCAAAUUUUCAACAAAUUUGACAUUGAAUGGAAGUGGCAAAAGUACUUAGCAGAGUGUGGCGUUGAUAACAAUUAGCAGCUACAUGACCUUUUUUAGUACAAAUUUGACAUGUAGGAAUGUCAAUGCCAGAACCAAGAAUGCCAGGAUUAGAAGUAGGUGGAACCUAAUAAGGGCGUGGACUAGAUUGAUAAUGAUUACGUCCUCUGCCAUAACCCUUAAAAUUAAACCCCUGAUUGCCAAAGUAUCCUCCAGUAGAACCAUGAAAGCUACUGUGAUGACCAUUAAAUCCUCCAUUGAAACCAGAAGGAAAUUAAGAUGGUGGAGCAGACUUGGAGCUAGAAGGAUGAGAAUUAGAGUUACCUUUAUCAAGAGCAAGAGCCUUGCCAGGAGAUAUUUGAUGUUGAGCCAUCACUGCAGGAACAAACAGGGAAGCAGAAUAAGUUUGCUCAAGAAUGGCUUCUUCAGCUAGCAAUUGAGACCGAAAAUCUUUAAGGGAUAACACGUUGUCUCGGUCGCGAACAAUACACCUAAAGGUGUUAUAAUUAGAAGGAAGACCAUUGAGAGCCAAGAUUACAAUAUCAUCAUCUUCAAAAUAAACCCCUGCUACAGAAAGAUGGUCUCGAGCAUCUUUGAUCUUUUACAGAUAUUGAGACACAGAAUCUGAGCCCUUCUUGAUGGUUUGAAGCUCACUUUUCAUCUGAAAAAUAUGUGCCUUAGUAAUUGUGGAAAAUCUAUUCUUCAGUUGAAUCCACAUGUCAUGAGAGCUAACACAUUCAAUAACAUAGGAGAUUGCAGUUGAUGAGAGAGUAGCAAUAAUCAACUGCAUCAAUGUCCGGUCAUACAUUUUCCAAACCUGAUGAUCAUCAGUUUCAACACAUUCAAGGUCAGCAUCUGCAUCAAACCGAUUUGGACACUUUCUUGAUCCAUCAACAAAUCCUAAAAUACCAUAACUCUCAAGUAGAAUAUGCAUAUGAAAAUUCCAGAUGAGAUAAUUUGUGUCAUCCAGCUUGACUGUUACAGCUGUUGAAACUGUAGGAAGUAAACAGGUAAUAGGAGAUUGAACAAUUUAAAGUUGAGAAGUAGUCACCAUUUUAGAGUUCAAGAGAUAGCGAGGAAGAGAAUCACAUACGAUAGGCAUAGUCCCAGAUUUGAGAAGAGAGUUGAAGAAGAAUUUUUCAGUUUGACAAUAUAUCAAAUAGAUGAUAGGUAGAUCAAUUAUUAUGAAAGAAUUGGUUGAUUAAGGCGAUAAUAAUACCAGAAACAGAGAGUAGCAAGAUAUUAGAAGCAGAGAAAUCACAGGAUCACAAGAUAAUAACAAUCCUAAGCUCUGAUACCAUGAAAGCUAGCAAGAAUCAUCACAAAGAUGAACAGAGAAGUGAAUAGAAUUAGAGGGAGAUACUGCAAUGCAGAGGAAGAAGAAAAACAUUUCUGCAUAUAUUCACUUAUAUUUUUACCAACAUUGUUACAUACAUUCAUUUUAUAUGAACCAAGAUGAGAAGCUUGUUUACGUAAUCUAAUCAACAAUAACAGACUUUGUUAACUAUCUAACAAUAUUAACAAACUUUUUAACCAUUAUAUUCUUUAUUCUCUUGACAGGGCAGAAGCAGAGCCUUUGAUAUCUUGACAAAAGUAAAACACAAGGAAAUGCAUGCAUGCACACCACUAAUCUUUGAUUCUGGCGAGAACAGUGAUGACUACACUCUGAACCAAAUAGAAUUACAUUCCGAGAUGAAGAAAUUAAUAACACAGAGCAGUGCUAUAAAGCUACAUGUGAAACCAGAGAUUAAUAAGCAAUGCUGAAAAUUUUAUCAAGCAUAAGACGAGAGAAGCAUAGGACAUAUUUUUCCCACAAUUGAAUAUGUGAAUUGAGCACAGAUUUCCCUGUUGCAAACUGUUCCUAAUUUCUCAAAUGAUUAACUAGAAUACGAGUUGCACUUAAAAUUUUAAAGCAACAUAUAUGCUCUUGAUUUUUAGUGAAUUGCUGAAACAAACAUACAAGCUCGAUCACACCUCUAGAACAGAGUGACAGUUCAUGGUGACCUCAAAGACUGCAUCAAGUCCUCCAAGCUCUCGUAACUUUUCCCUAAAGCCCCCCCCAGUCUUCCUUAAUUACCAUGCCAGAUGUAUCUGAAUGAAUGCAACCCAUACAGUGAAAUGAAUAAGCAAUCAGAAAAGGAGAGAGAGAGAGUGAAAAAAUUUGUCACAAAACUAGAUAAUGGCGACCACAUAUCAAUAAUUCGAGAUAUGACGUGGGGCACUUUCAUCGUGAUUAUUGUUUGUCCAAUAAUGUUGGAUGUAUUAUUUCUUGUUAAGACUUUUUAGGUUGUGAAAAGUCCAAGAUGUAGUAUAAUAAAAUAAAUAUAACCUUUGAUUUUAUCAUUUAUAUUGAGCUGAAAUUUUGACAUACAAUUCUAAAGAUUUUGUGGUUAAAAUUUCAAGAUCUUAAAAAAAAGACCUUUAAAUAAGGAUUUAAAGUUACUAUGAGAUGGUCUUUAUUUACCUAUUUGGUAUUGUUUUUAUUUAUAUUAGGAAUUUUAAUUUAAUUAGUAUUUUAUUAUUAAAAAAUUCUAAUAAUAGAUUGAUUCUAUUAGUUAGGCAAGUUUUAAAUACAAUUUAUUUUUCUAUACAAAAUUUUAUAUCUAGAACAAAUAUAAAUAAAAAUAUUUAGUUUAUUUUUUGUUCGGGUAUUCAUAUUAUUAUUAAGAUUUUUUAAAAAUAUUUAGAGAUUUUUUUUUAUUUCGCUAUUGUGUUAGGACUAUAACCUUAAGGUUUGGAUGUUUGUGAAAGUGGAAGCGGUUACUUUUUAAAAUGUUUUUCACUUAGAAAUGCAUCAAAAUCAUAUAUAUAUUUUUUAUUUUUUAAAAUUAAUUUUUGACAUCAAAACAAUGCAAAAACACCAAAAAAUUAAUUUGAAAAAAAAUCAAAAAUUUUGAAAACCUCGAUCAAAAUGUUGUACCAAACACCCUCUUAGUUUUAUCUUAUUUUUAAAAAAUAAUUCUUGAUAUUAGCAAACAAAACAAUUUAAUAACACAAAAAAAUUAAUUUUAAAAAAUCAAAAUCUUAAAAAACUCUCGUCUAAAUGUUUGCUUUUAGUUUUAUCAUCGUUGCACUGCGUAAAGAUGCUAAAAAGAAAAUAGUUGAUAUAGCCACCUAAGUGCUGGUGGUGUUUCAGAGUGUAGUAGCGAUUGUUUUUUAAAGUGUUUUUUACUCGGAAAUGCAUUAAAAUAAUAUUUUUUUAUUUUUAAAAAAUUAUUUUUAACAUCAGCAUAUCAAAAUGAUCUGAAAAUACUGAAAAAAAUAUUAAUCUAAAUUAAAUAAAAAAAUAAAAAAAAAUCAAUCUCUUUUAAAAAUAUUUUUAAAAUGCAGAAACAAACAGGAUCUCUCAACCUGCUACAAAUAACUGCUGCAAUGGCCUUUCUUUAAUAUUUUACUUACACCAUUCUGCACAAUAUUUUCUUUUGUACAUCCAUGGAACCCUCUUUGCCUUCUACACAAAUUCAAAGCCCAUGCUAAAAACUACAAGGAAAUGAUCUCUACCUUUCUACAAGUUAAAGGCUUUUGGUACUUUCCGUCCUUCUUGGGAAGACCCAUCUCAGUUCAAGAACACUUCGAGCCUCAAUCCACUGAUAUAUUUGUCGUCAGCUUCCAAAAACGAAGGAAAUCUUUGGUUAAUGUUCUCUAAUAAGUACUAACACCUUUUCUCCUUCAACAGUGAAAUUUACGUGCCUUUCACACCUUUUUACGUUCGAACAUUUCAUUUGUUCUUGUGCUCUAAAUUCUAAAUUGAGUCUGUUUUUGUGAGUUCCAUUCUUCUAUUUAAAAGAUUAGAAAACGCAAGAUUGCAUCAAUGCUAAAUGCAAUUUCAAUAUCUGUGUGUGUGUCAAAUGCAUGGUGAUGUUACAUGAUGUGUUUGUUUUUACGUUUCAAAAAUAUUUUUUUAAAAUUAAAUUUUAUUUAUUUAUUUUUUAUUUUAAAUUAAUAUUUUUUAGUUUUUUCGGAUUAUUUUAAUUUACUGAUAUCAAAAUUAACUUUUUUAAAAUAAAAAAAAUAUUAUUUUAAUACAUUUCUGAGUAAAAAAUACUUUGAAAAGUAACUGCUACUACACUUCCAAAUAUACCCUUAAAAAAACAAAGUUAUGGAGUUGGAGGCUCUAAAUAUUCCUCAAAAUAUCAAGUCUUAAGGGCUCGGAGCUAUUAUCCAGUCUUAAAAUUUUUGCAUUUUAAAAAUAUUUUUAAAAAAAUGAAUAUUUUUUACUUUUUUUUAUUUUAAACUAUAUUUUUUUCUUUCUGUUUUUAUAUUGUUUUUAUGUAAAAAAUAAAUUUUAAAAAAUAUAAAAAUAUUUUUUUAAAAACAAUCACCAUACAAUAACAAAUAAAAUAUUAAUAUGAAAUAAAAUCUAAUUCUACCAGCAGACAGCUGAUAAGAAUACUAAAAAAGUGUAAAUUUUGACUUAAUUCAAUUAUUAGAAUUUGGGGCAGCGUAACAGUGUCAAAGAAAAUGUCAGAAAAGUAGGGCAAACAGUGCAAAUACCUUGGAUGAUGGUGACCAAAUAUUUGUAAUUUGAGACAUCUCGUUCUUGAAAAGAAAUAGUUAAUAGUGCCAAUAAUUUUUUUUUAUUAAUUUGAGGUGUUCAGACCAGUUUGCAUGCACCUCGACUAAUACUUACGGUUCUUGAAGUUAACGAAUAAAUAAGCCUCCAGUGGCCAUCAAUAUUAACAACUACAAGGCUCGAACUUGAGACCACAGGGGGGCAAACCCCUUGAUCCAAAACUCUUACCACUUGACCACCUACUAGAUGGUUAGUACCAAUAAUUAAUUUGCUCUCAACUUGCUACAAAUAGCUGCCAUGAUCACAUAUUCAAGAAACACUAGUUUAAGAGCUUGGGAUCAAGAGGUUUGCUCCCUCUGUAGUCUCAGGUUCAAGCCCUGUGGUUGCUCAUAUGAUGGCCACUGGAGGCUUACAUGGUCGUUAACUUCAGGGCCCGUGGGAUUAGUAGAGGUGCGUGUAAGCUGGCCCGGACACCCACGUUAAACUAAAAAAAAAAAAACACUAGUUUAUAAACCCUGAGGGGUAGCUCAACUGGUUAGAUUUUGAGUAUGUUUCCUAAUAAUCACGAGUUUGAGUUCUUUUAGGCCAACUGGAGGCUUACAUAGUUUUAAACUUCAGGACUCGUGAAAUUAGUAAAGGUACAUACAAAUUCAGUGGUGGAGCCAGAAAUUUUUAAAUGAGGAGGCAAAUUACUAACAAAUAUUUGAUAUUAUAUGCUAUACAUAUAUAUGUUAUAUAUAGAAAUGAAUUUGAAAUACAUGUGCCUCAAGUCAAGCAAAAUUAAUUUAAGAAUACUUUUAAAAUGAAAAAAACUUAUGUUAUAAUUGUUUUCUUCGAGAUUUUAUAUUUUAAAACUGCUUCAUAAUAAUUUUAUUUUUAAUUUCAUUAAAAAUAUAUUUCUCAAUAUAUACAACAAACUUUCAUUUAUCUAUUUCUAAAUCUUCCAAGUACUAGGAAAGUUGUUGACAACAAUUUUAUGCUGACAUAUGGUACAUAACAUCUAAAAUCAUAUCUUAAAAGAAUUGUCAUAAAUUGAAGUUGUUCUUACUGACUUGUUGUUUUGUACAAGUAGAUUAAAUAUAAAUAUUAAAUGUUUUUUUAAAUUUAUCUAUUAUGUCUCUAAUUUUUUUAGUUGUCUUAUACUUCAUUUUUAAUCAUUAGUAAAUUCAUUAUCAUCGUUUUUCAUAUGAAAUUCAUAACAAAACUUAUCAAUUCAUCAAAACUCAUUUCAAUUCAUAUCCAUUAGCAUAUAAUAUUACCCAUACACAUAUUAAUUCAACAAACCCAUAAAUUAUUAUAAACCCUAACAUUUUUAAUAACUAAUUUUUGGAGAUGUAGACCCAGUAUUUUUGGAGCUUCCAUAUCUAGUUGACCUAUCAGGAAGAGAUGAAGUUAACGUUUGGGAAUGCGGUGCAAACCAUGUUCCCCUAAAAUUAAAUUUUUUUUUGUUAAAAAUUAAUUUUUUGGUAUAUUUUGGAUCGUUUUGAUGCGCUGAUCUCAAAAAUAAUUUUUAAAAAAUAAAAAAACAUCAUUUUGAUGCAUUUCGGCACAAAAAAUACUUUGAAAAGCAACUGUAACCACACUCCUAUACAAGUAAAGUCUCUAACAGCACAAGUAUAAAAAAUAUAACUGCUGGGCAAACCAACUCUUUUCUCAAACCCAUCAGUUGCCUCAUGAUAUAUAUAUAUAUAUACACAUAUAUAUAUAUAUAUAUAUAUAUAUAUAUACACACACACACCAUGCAUAGAAUUCAUGGAUAAAAGAAAGGAAUUGGAUCUGAUUUGAGGUGGGGGGAUUGCCCCCUCUUGCCUUUAUGUGGCUCCGCCACUAUAUAAAUUAGUUUGGAUAUUUACAUUAAUUAAAAAAAAAAUACUGGUCUAGAAAAGCGAUCUACAAGGUGAUUAUUUAGUUGACUAAUUGAAUCUGUUUUUUAUAAAAAAAAUAUUUUAGAAGAUAAUUUUUAAUAAUUUUAGAUUUUUUUAUAUAUAAAUAUCAAAAAUAAAAUUAAAAAAAUAACAAAAUAUUAUUUUAAUAUAAUUUUAAAUAAAAAACACAUUUAAAAAAACUUAAUAGUAUACUCUCAACCAAGGUUGUCAAUUCCGUUUCGGUAGGUGUUUCGUUUUUUUAAUUGGAAUGGAAUGUUUCAGUUUCGGAGUGUUUCGGCGUGCCGUUCCGGGGUUGUACUGUUCAUAUAUAUAUAUUCAACAAACAUAAUUCAAAUUCAAGAUAAAUUAAUUAUAAAUUAUGCAAUACAAACACAAUGCCAAACAAAUAUAAUUUCAAAAUUUAAAAUAUUUCUAAAUAGUCAAGAUUAAAUAGAUCUUUACCUUAAAGUAAUUCAACUUAAACAAAAUAUCAAAAUAUUAUGAAAGUAAAAUGUUUUAACAUAAAUAUUUUAAAUAUAAAGUUAGGUCAAUGUUAUCAAGGCUAAUUGAAUCUAAAGCAUCCCUUGGUUUGCUCAAAUUUCUACAAAGUAUAAACAUGAAAAAAAAACAUGAAUAUAAACCUUAUAUAUUAGUGAUAAAUCUAAUUUUAAAAAAUUAAUAUCAUUGUUAAUGAAAAUAGUAAUAAUAAUUUUCAAUAUUAUUAUUAAUAUCAUUGUUAUUGAAAAUAGUAAUGAAAAAGAGCCUUUUAUAAUUGGGUGAUUUAAUUAAUUAAAUUGAACAAAAUUCAAUUUGAUUCAAUGGAUUUUCAAGAACGGAACGAAACAAGUGGAAUGAAACCGGAACGUUCCGGGUGGAAUUUAGCCGAAAAAUACAGAACAGACCGAGAUUUAAAAUAAAAUGAAAUUUAUUUUAUUUUUUAAAUUGGUAUGAAAUAUUUCGUUUAUUUCAUACGAAACAAAACAGAAUUGACAACUUGCUCUCAAGCACCCAAAAUAGAGGAUUCAAUUGUAUUGUGGGUUCCACACCAUUUAAAGCUUGCAAAGAAGGAUUUGAAACACAAUCACACUAAAGAUUUGCAAUGGAAUAUAAUAUAAAAUAAUACCCAAUGGCAUCAGCGGACAUGUAAUCAAUAAUAUUAAAAUACAGUAAAUUUUGAUUUAAUUCAAUUAUUGGAUUCUAGGCAGCGUGACAAUGUCAGAAAAUCUUGGAUGAUGGUGACCAAAUAUAUCAGUAAUUUGAGACAACACGUUCCCGAAAGGUAAUAGCUGAUGGUGCCAAAAAUUAAACCAGCUCUCAACUCGCUACAAAUAGCUGCCAUGGCCUUUCAUUCUACCUUAUAUUUCUUUUUUAACUUUCAUGGAAUCCUCUUUGCCUUCCUCCCAAAUCUUGGAUUCUGAUGGAAAUGCUGAGAGGAAAAAUGAAGCUAAAAAUUACAAUGAAGUGAUGUCCACCCUUCCAAAAGUUAAAGGCUUGAGGGGGGAUGAUUAUUACCUGUACCAAGGCUUUUGGUACGCUCCCUUCUUCUUGGAAAGACUCAUGUCUGUUCAAGAGCACUUCCAUCCUCAAUCCACUGAUAUAUUUGUCGCCAGUUUUCCAAAAACUGGCACAACUUGGCUUAAGGCCCUCACUUUUGCUAUUUUCACACGAUCCCGUUUAAGUGGUUCAACAACUAGUUCUUUACUUUCCAAGAUGCCACAUGACUGUGUUCCUUUUUUGAAUUAUAACCUUGCUCAAAACCCCAGUAAUCGGGACUUGACAAUUCCUCUGCUAUCUACUCAUGUUCCUUACAGUUGUUUACCUAAAUCUAUCAUUUCUUCUUGUUGCAAGAUUAUUUACAUUUGCAGGGACGCAAAGGAUGCUUUUGUUUCUUUGUGGUACUUUCAUGCCACGUUGCAAAG
RNAcentral lists this long non-coding RNA (24768 nucleotides) under Populus trichocarpa (black cottonwood). Its description in RNAcentral is "long non-coding RNA (PTRI_LNC002684)". The record is from RNAcentral. Lineage: Eukaryota; Viridiplantae; Streptophyta; Magnoliopsida; Malpighiales; Salicaceae.